Molecule: ribosomal RNA, 482 nt
Filed under: uncultured bacterium
Lineage: Bacteria
Description: partial 16S ribosomal RNA
Rfam family: Bacterial small subunit ribosomal RNA
Source: RNAcentral
AUUGAACGCUGGCGGCAUGCCUAACACAUGCAAGUCGAACGGAAACGGGCCUUCGGUUGUCGACGAGUGGCGGACGGGGGAGUAAUACAACCGAACGUGUCCGAUCCUUGUGGGUAACGAGGCAAAAGGUUUGCUAAUACCUCAUACGAGCUACGGAUGAAAACAGGGUGCCGCAAGGGCUUGCGCCGGCGUAGCGGUCGAUGGUAGAUUAGGUAGUUGGUGGGAUAAAAGCUUACCAAGCCGACGAUCUGUAGCUGGUCUGAGAGGAUGAUCAGCCACACUGGAACUGAGACACGGCCCAGACUCCUACGGGAGGCAGCAGUGGGGAAUUUUGGACAAUGGGCGCAAGCCUGAUCCAGCCAUGCCGCGUGCAGGAUGAAGGCCUUCGGGUUGUAAACUGCUUUUGUACGGAACGAAAAGCCUUCUUUUAAUACAGGAGGGUCAUGACGGUACCGUAAGAAUAAGCACCGGCUAACUACGUG